This 3850-nucleotide long non-coding RNA is filed under the name Salmo salar (Atlantic salmon). RNAcentral describes it as "lncRNA (ENSSSAG00000097967.1)". Lineage: Eukaryota; Metazoa; Chordata; Actinopteri; Salmoniformes; Salmonidae. The record is from RNAcentral.
CCUGCGUGUUGCAUGUUGGCCGGAUAGUAGUCCAUGGGCCCUGGAGGGCGACCCUGCAUCAUCCGGGGGUCCAUGUAGGGCAUCAUCAUCCAGCGGGGGUCAAAGUUCAUGGGCAGGGGGCCGCGGCCCAUGGAGCCCUGUGGAGGGUACUGCAGGGUCCCAGACUGCUGCUGCUUGGGACCCUGGGUCUGAGGGGUGGCCCCUGGGCCCUGCUGCUGAGGUGACUGCUGAGGCUGCUGGGGCGGGAGCUGCUGCUGACUCUGUUGGGCUGCUUGGCUGUGCUGCUGCUGCCACUGCUGCUGCUGCUUCAUCAGCUGCUCCUGAAGACACCAAGUGGGCGAGAUAUUAUAAUAAAUAAAUAAGCCAUUUAGGAGACCCUUUAUCCAAAGUGGCUUAGUCACGCGUGUAGGGCUGAGACAUAUAUCAAGUUAAUUCAAUUCAUUAGAAUGUAUGUUUUAGCGCAAAAAAUUCCAAAUGCAUGCAUCGGGAGAAUCAAAUUAUUUAGUUUCUCGAUUUUAUGAGCGUUUAUGUUCGCUUGUUCUUAUCUUGUCUUUUUGGUCUGGUCUCCUUAGUUUCUUUUGUGCUGAGUGCACCUUCCCACUCAAACACAUACACCAAGCCCCUCCCCCUGCCACUCGCAACAAAGAUGAAAGAUCACUUUUUCCUCUCUGACAACAAGCCGUUUCAACUCACCAUUUGCAUUUGCGCUUUGGUCCAACAGAAUCGGUCAUACUCUAUGUACACUGAAACACAUGGAGAAAUUUACUGUAAUAGAGGAAAAUGUAACCUUGUGUCUCAACUCCAAAAAAAUGACAAAGAGCAGAGCCUCUCGAGUGGCGCAGCGGUCUAAGGUACUGCAUCACAGUGCCAGCGGCGUCACUACAGAUCUUGGUUCGAUAACGGGCUGUGUCGCAGCCAGCCGCGACCAGGAGACCCAUGAAGUGGCACACAAUUGGGCCAGCGUCGUCCGGAUUAGGAGAGCGUUUGGCUGGCCGGGAUGUCCUUGUCCCAUCGCACUCAAGCGACACCUGUGGCGGGCCGAGCGCAUGCACACUGACACUGUAGCCAGGUGUACAAUGUUUCUUCUGACACACUGGUGCGGCUGGCGUCCAGGUUAAGAAAGCAUUGUGUCAAGAAGCAGUGCGGCUUGGCGGGGUCGUGUUUAGGAGGACGCAUGGCUCUCAAGCUUCAAGUUCGAACGGGAGUUGCAGCGAUGGGACAAGACUAACUACCAAUUGGAUAUCAUGAAAUUGGCGAGAAAAACCUGCAAAACAUUUUUUUUUUUAUACAAACAUUAAUAAAACUACAAAAAUAACUGAAAUAUCACAUAUACAUAAGUAUUCAGUCCCUUUGCUAUGAGACUCGAAAUUGAGCUCAGGUGCAUCCUGUUUCCAUUGAUCAUCCUUGAGAUGUUUCUACAACUUGGGAGUCCACCUGUGGUAAAUUCAAUUGAUUGGACAUGAUUUGGAAAGGCACACACCUGUCUAUAUAAAGUCCCACAGUUGACAGUGCAUGUCAGAGCAAAAACCAAGCCAUGAGGUCAAAGGAAUUGUCCGUAGAGCUCCGAGACAGGAUUGUGUCGAGGCACAGAUCUGGGGAAGGGAACAAAACAAUGUCUGCAGCAUUGAAGGUCCCCAAGAACACAGUGGCCUCCAUCAUUCUUAAAUGGAAGAAGUUUGGAACCACCAAGACUAACUAGAUUUGGCCACCCGGCCAAACUGAGCAAUCGGGGGAGAAGGGCCUUGGUCAGGGAGGAGACCAAGAACCCGAUGGUCAAUCUGACAGAGCUCUAGAGUUCCUCUGUGGAGACUAGAGAACCUUCCAGAAGAACAACAAUCUCUGCAGCACUCCACCUAUCAGGCCUUCACAGUAGAGAUGCCAGACAAAAGCCACUCCUCAGUAAGAAGAACAUGACAGCCCGCUUGGAGUUUGCCAAAAGGCACCUAAAGGACUCUGACCAUGAGAAACAAGAUUUCUCUGGUCUGAUGAAACCAAGAUUUAACUCUCUGGCCUGAAUGCCAAGUGUCACGUCUGGAGGAAACGAGGCACCGCUUAUCACCUGGCCAAUACCAUCCAUACGGUGAAGCAUGGUGGUGGCAGCAUCAUGCUGUGCGGAUGUUUUUCAGCGGCAGAGACUGGGAGACCAGUCAGGAUCGAGGCAAAGAUGAACGGAGCAAAGUACAGAGAGAUCCUUGAUGAAGUCCUGAGUGCUCUGGAGCAGGUUUUCAGACUGGGGUGAAAGUUCACCUUCCAACAGGAUAACGACCCUAAGUACACAGCCAAGAGAAAGCAGGAGUGGCUUCAGGAAAAGUCUCUGAAUGUCCUUGAGUGGCCCAGCCAUAGCACGGAAUUGAACCCAAUCGAUCAUCUCUGGAGAGACGUAAAAAUAGCUGAGCAGCGACGCUCCCCAUCCAAUCUGAUAGAGCUUGAGAGGAUCUGCAGAGAAUGGGAGAAACUCCCCAAAUGCAGGUGUGCCAAGCUUGUAGCGUCAUACCCCAAAAUACUCGAGGCUGUAAUCGCUGCCAAAGGUACUUCAACAAAGUACUGAGUCUGAAUACUUAUGUAAAUGUCAUAUUUUAGUUUGAUAUUUUUUAUUAAUUCACACAAAAAAAAUGUUUUGGUUUGUCAUUAUGAGGUAGUGUGUGUAGAAUGAUGAUGGGGGAAAAAAACUAUUACAGCCUUAUUCUAAAAUGGAUUCAACGUAACAAAAUGUGGAAAAAGUCAAGGGGUCUGAAUACUUUCCGAACGCACUGUAUAUUGCUAUUCAUUAUAAUUGAAAAGGAAAAAAAAAAACUAAAAAAAGGUGUUAUAUCAGCACUCUUACUCAGACUGAAUUCAAAACAGAUUAUUUAUAGCGUUUGUUGUAUUGGGACUGCAGCCAUAAAAUGGAGCCACAAAAAGGUAGUGGUAAAUUCCUCAAACUGGCACUCUGGGAAGGUUAAGCCAAUCUGAAAUGCAGCGUCAAGGACAGAACAACUACUCUUGUCCCACAUUGAUUUGGUUUGUAUUGAUCGGGGGUUAUUUUCUGGGACAAUGAAUGGAACGGUUUGCUUGCUUUGUUGAAUGGAACUCCAAUUUGGGAUGUGAAAGGGACAAUAUAUACCCCAAAUACGUCGAUUUGACUGGGCUUCAACCCCCACAUGUAUGUCUCAGCUCUUGUCUACGUCACAUCAGGUUUAACAGAUUUUACAUUACAUUUAAGUCAUUUAGCAGACGCUCUUAUCCAGAGCGACUUACAAUUUGUUUUUAUUUUAUUUUUUUACUUACAAAGAUUUGAUUUUAUUAGGAUUUCUUAGUCCAAAUAGUCCUCAUCUUCGAUGAGUCCUUAACCUCUCUAGGGUAGGUGGCACCAAAUCGUCCCACCUACGCAACAGCCAGUCUAAUCCCGUGGCGCGAUAUUCAAAUACCUUAGAAAUGCUAUUACUUCAAUUUCUCAAACAUAUGACUAUUUUACACCAUUUUAAAGACAAGACUCUCCUUUAUCUAACCACACUGUCCGAUUUCAAAAAGGCUUUACAACGAAAACAAAACAUUAGAUUAUGUCAGCAGAGUACACAGCCAGAAAUAAUCAGACACCCAUUUUUCAAGCUAGCAUAUAAUGUCACAUAAACCCAAACCACAGCUAAAUGUAGCACUAACCUUUGAUGAUCUUCAUCAGAUGACAACCCUAGGACAUUAUGUUAUACAAUACAUGCAUGUUUUGUUCUAUCAAGUUCAUAUUUAUAUCAAAAACCAGCUUUUUACAUUAGCAUGUGACGUUCAGAACUAGCAUACAUACCCCCGCAAACUUCCGGGGAAUUUACUAACAAUUUACUAAAUUACUCACGAUAAACGUUCACAAAAAGCAUAA